Molecule: ribosomal RNA, 388 nt
Filed under: uncultured bacterium
Lineage: Bacteria
Description: bacterial SSU rRNA
Rfam family: Bacterial small subunit ribosomal RNA
Source: RNAcentral
AACGAACGCUGGCGGCGCGCUUAACACAUGCAAGUCGAACGAGAAGGCGUAGCAAUACGCUUGUACAGUGGCGAACGGGUGAGUAAUACGUGGGCGACCUACCCUCGAGUGGGGAAUAACCCGCCGAAAGGCGGGCUAAUGCCGCGUACGCUUCCAUCUUUAUGGAGGUGGAAGGAAAGCCGUGCCGUGGGCACGGCGCUCAAGGAUGGGCUCACGUCCUAUCAGCUUGUUGGAGGGUAACGGCCUACCAAGGCUCCGACGGGUAGCUGGUCUGAGAGGGCGAUCAGCCACACUGGCACUGCGACACGGGCCAGACUCCUACGGGAGGCAGCAGUGAGGAAUAUUGCGCAAUGGGCGAAAGCCUGGCGCAGCGACGCCGCGUGGGGGA